RNAcentral lists this ribosomal RNA (376 nucleotides) under uncultured Methanosaeta sp. Its description in RNAcentral is "bacterial SSU rRNA". It matches the Rfam family "Archaeal small subunit ribosomal RNA", at positions 472 to 847 of the family's 1478-position model. Lineage: Archaea; Methanobacteriati; Methanobacteriota; Methanomicrobia; Methanotrichales; Methanotrichaceae. The record is from RNAcentral.
AACACCGGGGGCCCGAGUGGUAACCGCUUUUUUUGGGUCUAAAGGGUCUGUAGCCGGCCGAUUAAGUUUUUUGGGAAAUCCGCCAUCUCAAGUGUCGGGCUGCCGGGGGAUACUGUUCGGCUUGGGGCCGGGAGAGGUGAGAGGUACUUCCGGGGUAGGGGUGAAAUCUUGUAAUCCUCGAGGGACCACCAGUGGCGAAGGCGUCUCACCAGAACGGAUCCGACGGCAAGGGACGAAAGCCAGGGGCACGAACCGGAUUAGAUACCCGGGUAGUCCUAGCCGUAAACGAUACUCGCUAGGUGUCGGCCACGGUGCGACCGUCCUCGGUGCCGUAGGGAAGCCGUUAAGCGAGCCACCCGGGAAGUACGGCCGCAAG